UGCGCAGUUCCAAGGUUGAUCAGUUGUAUGUCUUGACAGGUAGGCAGAAGUAAACUGUUGAAUUAUAAAUUUAGGUAAACCACCCUACAAGCUGAAAUUUAAAACCAACAUUCAGUGGCACUAAAACUAAAAUCAUUUCGGUAUUGAGGUGUACUGCUUUUGCCAAGUUAAAAAUUCAAGCCAAUAUGUCUUCAAGUGAGGAUCAAAAUCCUGAGGUACGGACUUUCUUCUUCUUCUUCUU
This is a long non-coding RNA of Limulus polyphemus (Atlantic horseshoe crab), 241 nucleotides long. RefSeq lists it as uncharacterized. The record is from RefSeq and is a predicted model, not a curated record. The transcript has 3 exons. Lineage: Eukaryota; Metazoa; Arthropoda; Merostomata; Xiphosura; Limulidae.